This 468-nucleotide ribosomal RNA is filed under the name uncultured bacterium. Its description in RNAcentral is "partial 16S ribosomal RNA". It matches the Rfam family "Bacterial small subunit ribosomal RNA", at positions 28 to 507 of the family's 1533-position model. The record is from RNAcentral.
GACGAACGCUGGCGGCGUGCUUAACACAUGCAAGUCGAACGGAAAGGCCCUGCUUUUGUGGGGUGCUCGAGUGGCGAACGGGUGAGUAACACGUGAGUAACCUGCCCUUGACUUUGGGAUAACUUCAGGAAACUGGGGCUAAUACCGGAUAGGAGCUCCUGCUGCAUGGGGGGGGUGGGAAAGUUUCGGCGGUUGGGGAUGGACUCGCGGCUUAUCAGCUUGUUGGUGGGGUAGUGGCUUACCAGGGCUUUGGCGGGUAGCCGGCCUGGGAGGGUGACCGGGCACAUUGGGACUGAGAUACGGCCCAGACUCCUACGGGAGGCAGCAGUGGGGAAUAUUGCACAAUGGGCGGAAGCCUGAUGCAGCAACGCCGCGUGCGGGAUGACGGCCUUCGGGUUGUAAACCGCUUUCGCCUGUGACGAAGCGUGAGUGACGGUAAUGGGUAAAGAAGCACCGGCUAACUACGUG